UGCCAGGUGUCCCUACCUCUGACCCACUGU
This 30-nucleotide non-coding RNA is filed under the name Mus musculus (house mouse). Lineage: Eukaryota; Metazoa; Chordata; Mammalia; Rodentia; Muridae. The record is from RNAcentral.